GUGGGGAAUAUUGGACAAUGGGCGAAAGCCUGAUCCAGCCAUGCCGCGUGUGUGAAGAAGGUCUUCGGAUUGUAAAGCACUUUAAGUUGGGAGGAAGGGCAGUAAGGUAAUACCUUGCUGUUUUGACGUUACCGACAGAAUAAGCACCGGCUAACUUCGUGCCAGCAGCCGCGGUAAUACGAAGGGUGCAAGCGUUAAUCGGAAUUGCUGGGGGUAAAGCGCGCGUAGGUGGUUUUGUAAGUUGGAGGUGAAAUCCCCGGGCUCAACCUGGGAACUGCCUCCAAAACUGCAUGACUAGAGUACGGUAGAGGGUAGUGGAAUUUCCUGUGUAGCGGUGAAAUGCGUAGAUAUAGGAAGGAACACCAGUGGCGAAGGCGACUACCUGGACUGAUACUGACACUGAGGUGCGAAAGCGUGGGGAGCAAACAGGAUUAGAUACCCCAGUAGUCC
Molecule: ribosomal RNA, 450 nt
Filed under: uncultured bacterium
Lineage: Bacteria
Description: partial 16S ribosomal RNA
Rfam family: Bacterial small subunit ribosomal RNA
Source: RNAcentral